This 66-nucleotide transfer RNA is filed under the name Neoglyphea inopinata. Its description in RNAcentral is "tRNA-Ser". Lineage: Eukaryota; Metazoa; Arthropoda; Malacostraca; Decapoda; Glypheidae. The record is from RNAcentral.
GAGAUAAAACGACAAAGAAAAAGCUUCUAACUUUUUUCUAAGCGGUUUAAUUCCGUUAAUAUCUCC